GACGAACGCUGGCGGCGUGCUUAACACAUGCAAGUCGAACGGAAAGGCCUCUUUCGGGGGGUACUCGAGUGGCGAACGGGUGAGUAACACGUGAGUAACCUGCCCUUGACUUUGGGAUAACUUCAGGAAACUGGGGCUAAUACCGGAUAGGAGCUCCUGCUGCAUGGUGGGGGUUGGAAAGUUUCGGCGGUUGGGGAUGGACUCGCGGCUUAUCAGCUUGUUGGUGGGGUAGUGGCUUACCAAGGCUUUGACGGGUAGCCGGCCAGAGAGGGUGACCGGCCACAUUGGGACUGAGAUACGGCCGAGACUCCUACGGGAGGCAGCAGUGGGGAAUAUUGCACAAUGGGUGGAAGCCUGAUGCAGCAGCGCCGUGUGCGGGAUGACGGCCUUCGGGUUGUAAACCGCUUUCGCUCAUGACGAAGCUUUGUGUGACGGUAGUGGGUAAAGAAGCACCGGCUAACUACGUG
This 467-nucleotide ribosomal RNA is filed under the name uncultured bacterium. RNAcentral describes it as "partial 16S ribosomal RNA". It matches the Rfam family "Bacterial small subunit ribosomal RNA", at positions 28 to 507 of the family's 1533-position model. The record is from RNAcentral.